AUGAACCUGCGGUAUGCGUGUAUAUGGUAUUGUGAUAGAACCAAGUCCAGAACGGGAAUUGAUCCCUUUGUGCGUUAUAGUAAGUUUUUGAAAUAACUCCCCACUUAGGUAGAUGCCCACCUUGUUAAAAAGGUUCUCGGACAAACCAUCUCACGGUACACGCGGGUUUUAU
This 172-nucleotide non-coding RNA is filed under the name Candidatus Cloacimonadota bacterium. RNAcentral describes it as "6S RNA". It matches the Rfam family "6S / SsrS RNA". From Rfam's summary of the family: E. coli 6S RNA was the first non coding RNA to be sequenced, but its function was unknown until recently. It consists of 184 nucleotides that fold into an extended hairpin structure with a large single-stranded internal bulge. The 6S RNA specifically associates with RNA polymerase holoenzyme containing the sigma70 specificity factor. The record is from RNAcentral. Lineage: Bacteria; Pseudomonadati; Candidatus Cloacimonadota.